UUGGUGCAAAAGUAAUUGCAGUUUUUGCCACUACUUUUAAUAAUAGAAAAUGCAAUUGCUUUUGCACUAACCUAAU
RNAcentral lists this microRNA precursor (76 nucleotides) under Cebus imitator (Panamanian white-faced capuchin). Its description in RNAcentral is "miRNA (ENSCCAG00000011826.1)". Lineage: Eukaryota; Metazoa; Chordata; Mammalia; Primates; Cebidae. The record is from RNAcentral.